GCCGCUAUGGUGAAAUCGGUAGACACGCUGCUCUUAGGAAGCAGUGCUGCUAGAGCAUCUCGGUUCGAGUCCGAGUGGCGGCA
RNAcentral lists this transfer RNA (83 nucleotides) under Combretum kraussii. Its description in RNAcentral is "tRNA-Leu". It matches the Rfam family "tRNA". Rfam says of the family: Transfer RNA (tRNA) molecules are approximately 80 nucleotides in length. Their secondary structure includes four short double-helical elements and three loops (D, anti-codon, and T loops). The record is from RNAcentral. Lineage: Eukaryota; Viridiplantae; Streptophyta; Magnoliopsida; Myrtales; Combretaceae.